AUAUUGCUGGCAUAGGGGUUACCGUGAUCACUAAGGCGGUUCCCCCAGGGCGAGGCCCUUCCAUUGCACUUCGGUUGGGUUGACUAGGGGACGGACCUGGUGUAGUGGUUAGAACACUCGCCUCUCACGCCGAGGUUUA
Molecule: small nuclear RNA, 139 nt
Filed under: Aedes aegypti (yellow fever mosquito)
Lineage: Eukaryota; Metazoa; Arthropoda; Insecta; Diptera; Culicidae
Description: snRNA AAEL028897
Rfam family: U1 spliceosomal RNA
About the family: U1 is a small nuclear RNA (snRNA) component of the spliceosome (involved in pre-mRNA splicing). Its 5' end forms complementary base pairs with the 5' splice junction, thus defining the 5' donor site of an intron.
Source: RNAcentral